Molecule: transfer RNA, 87 nt
Filed under: Brachyspira sp.
Lineage: Bacteria; Pseudomonadati; Spirochaetota; Spirochaetia; Brachyspirales; Brachyspiraceae
Also listed under: 1 other name
Description: tRNA-Ser
Rfam family: tRNA
About the family: Transfer RNA (tRNA) molecules are approximately 80 nucleotides in length. Their secondary structure includes four short double-helical elements and three loops (D, anti-codon, and T loops).
Source: RNAcentral
GGAGAGGUGUCCGAGUGGUUUAAGGUGCGGAUCUCGAAAGUCUGUGAAGGGUAACACUUUCCGUGGGUUCGAAUCCCACCCUCUCCG